UCGUAAGUCGAGGUACCACUGUACUAAAAUUGGAAUGAUACAGAGAAGAUGAGCAUGGCCCCUACGCAAAUUUGUUCCAUAUUUUUAAUAUUAAAUAAAGAGAAAC
Molecule: non-coding RNA, 106 nt
Organism: Zootoca vivipara (common lizard)
Lineage: Eukaryota; Metazoa; Chordata; Lepidosauria; Squamata; Lacertidae
Source: RefSeq, a predicted model, not a curated record